This is a long non-coding RNA of Neopsephotus bourkii (Bourke's parrot), 1214 nucleotides long. RefSeq lists it as uncharacterized. The transcript is spliced from 5 exons. The record is from RefSeq and is a predicted model, not a curated record. Lineage: Eukaryota; Metazoa; Chordata; Aves; Psittaciformes; Psittacidae.
UAUGGGACUGAAAAGAUAAAAUGAACUAUGAUUUGUAAUCACAAAUUAAAUUUGUUUAAUUUUAAAAUGUUGAAUGGGAAUACAAAACAAAAUUAACAUAUUUUAUUUAAUAUUAAUCUUAAAACAAUGCUAGUUUUUUAACAGAAAAUGCUGCAACUGAAAUUUUGGUGAAGUUUACCUCUGUAGGAGCUGGCCUCUUUUUAGAAUCUGCACUUCAAAGACAUAGGAAAGCCCUAUGAUAAUUUGCAAUUUGAUAGGUUUUUUUCAUUCUAGACACUUCUCGGUUUUGCUUAAAAAUCACUGAGGCAGCCAAAGUAAAGGCCAGAUGCUGUCACUACACCCAACUGGGAUAUUUUCAAGUUGAAAUACCUAAGGAGAAAUGAGAACAGUUUUGGUACUGCCUCUUCACUGAGUUCUCCUAAACUGCUGUGGGGAACAGAACAUACUGGUGCUGCAGAUAGCUGCAGGUCUGGAGCCAUCCGAUCCUAUGGUGGUGUUCAGCUGCUCGUAAAGGGGAUUUCUUUGUGGAAGCCGAAGAAACAUUUCUGUCCCAGAGCCCUUUUUCAGAGCAGCACCUCAGCUGGGGCUUCUUGUGUCCCUUCCCCUUUACACUGCAGGUGAAGUUCUCUCUGCUGCUGAACACAGGCAAAAAUCUGCCUUCAGUGAUAUAGAUCUUCAUUCAUUCUUUCUUCAGAUCUGUUUUCUGAGGGAUGCUUAAUAGCCCAUAGCAAAAAUUCACCUAUUUUUUUAUAUGAGGAAAAGUGGUUUCAUGAAAAUCAAAAUCUGCCACAGGAGAAAAGACUGAUGAAAUUGGGCUUAUGAAAAAUGAAAACCAAUGGCUGUUUCUCCUUGUGGCUGAGUCAGUGUGAUACAUCACAGGAUGCUUCUACACCUCUGCUCUGUGGAGAGGCCAUGGGAAAUACAGUCUGGCUGGGGAGCAAUUCCCAUCUGGGAGAGCAAGAGGAUGAUGGGAGACAACUCCCAAAAGUCUUUCUGGCAUCUGGAGUGAACACAGAGAUUAAUGUUGACUCAAAACAAGAAGCUGCAUUUCAGGCCAGUGAAUCAAAGAGAAAGACUUGUUUUUGGAACGCCAAGAAAUGCUUUAUUUUAAUCCAGAAGUUCCUGAAUCACAGUUGUGCAAACUUUUGUUCCUUUCAUUCAUACAUUCCACUUUCCUGUGUCAUUUCUGUAGGAAACAAAUCCAGGGUGAUCAG